This 423-nucleotide ribosomal RNA is filed under the name uncultured prokaryote. Its description in RNAcentral is "bacterial SSU rRNA". It matches the Rfam family "Bacterial small subunit ribosomal RNA", at positions 355 to 774 of the family's 1533-position model. The record is from RNAcentral.
UGAGGAAUAUUGGUCAAUGGGCGCAAGCCUGAACCAGCCAUCCCGCGUGCAGGAAGACGGCCCUAUGGGUUGUAAACUGCUUUUGCAGGGAGAGAAACUUGCGUACGCGUUGCUCACUUGACGGUCCCCUGGAACUAAGCAUCGGCCAACUCCGUGCCAGCCGCCGCGGUAAUACGGACGAUGCGAGCGUUAUCCGGAUUCAUUGGGUUUAAAGGGUGCGUAGGCGGACUAUUAAGUCAGUGGUGAAAUCCUGCGGCUUAACUGCAGAACUGCCAUUGAUACUGAUAGGCUGGAGUUUGGUUAAGGUAGGCGGAAGGUGUAAGGUAGCGGUGAAAUGCUUAGAUAUUACACAGAACACCAAUUGCGUAGGCUGCUUACUGAGCCGACACUGACGCUGAGGCACGAAAGCGUGGGGAUCGAACA